Molecule: ribosomal RNA, 522 nt
Filed under: uncultured bacterium
Lineage: Bacteria
Description: bacterial SSU rRNA
Rfam family: Bacterial small subunit ribosomal RNA
Source: RNAcentral
CCUACGGGAGGCAGCAGUGGGGAAUUUUGGACAAUGGGCGCAAGCCUGAUCCAGCAAUGCCGCGUGAGUGAAGAAGGCCUUCGGGUUGUAAAGCUCUUUUGUCAGGGAAGAAACGGUCUACUCUAAUACAGUGGGCUAAUGACGGUACCUGAAGAAUAAGCACCGGCUAACUACGUGCCAGCAGCCGCGGUAAUACGUAGGGUGCAAGCGUUAAUCGGAAUUACUGGGCGUAAAGCGUGCGCAGGCGGUUAUAUAAGUCAGAUGUGAAAUCCCCGGGCUCAACCUGGGAACUGCAUUUGAGACUGUAUGGCUAGAGUGUGUCAGAGGGGGGUAGAAUUCCACGUGUAGCAGUGAAAUGCGUAGAUAUGUGGAGGAAUACCGAUGGCGAAGGCAGCCCCCUGGGAUAACACUGACGCUCAUGCACGAAGACGUGGGAGGACGAACAGAGUAGUAUACCUACGUAGUACGACGACCCGUAACCGAACUAGUCUACUAGUUGUUCGGUACGUUAAUUAGUUCGUU